ACGUGUGUGGAGCGGGCAGCGAGUGUCAGAGGGGGAGGCAAGCGGGUUCAGUGAACGAGGGGGGGAAAAGCGUCCGUAGGGGGCUAGCACAGUCUGCGGUCAAGGACUGGGGCUUAACCCUGGAAAGGCGGUGGAAACUGACGAGCUAGAGUGCAGGAGGGUGAGAGGGAAUUCCCGGGGUAGCGGUGAAAUGCGUAGAGCUCGGGAAGAACAUCGGUGGCGAAAGCGCUCUACUGGACUGCAACUGACACUCAGGGACGAAAGCUAGGGGAGCGAAUGGGAUUAGAUACCCCGGUAGUC
Molecule: ribosomal RNA, 300 nt
Filed under: uncultured Stygiolobus sp.
Lineage: Archaea; Thermoproteati; Thermoproteota; Thermoprotei; Sulfolobales; Sulfolobaceae
Description: bacterial SSU rRNA
Rfam family: Bacterial small subunit ribosomal RNA (bases 61-300)
Source: RNAcentral